AGAGUUUGAUCAUGGCUCAGAUUGAACGCUGGCGGCAGGCUUAACACAUGCAAGUCGAGCGGAGAUGAGGUGCUUGCACCUUAUCUUAGCGGCGGACGGGUGAGUAAUGCUUAGGAAUCUGCCUAUUAGUGGGGGACAACAUUCCGAAAGGAAUGCUAAUACCGCAUACGUCCUACGGGAGAAAGCAGGGGAUCUUCGGACCUUGCGCUAAUAGAUGAGCCUAAGUCGGAUUAGCUAGUUGGUGGGGUAAAGGCCUACCAAGGCGACGAUCUGUAGCGGGUCUGAGAGGAUGAUCCGCCACACUGGGACUGAGACACGGCCCAGACUCCUACGGGAGGCAGCAGUGGGGAAUAUUGGACAAUGGGGGGAACCCUGAUCCAGCCAUGGCCGCGUGUGUGAAGAAGGCCUUAUGGUUGUAAAGCACUUUAAGCGAGGAGGAGGCUACUGAGACUAAUACUCUUGGAUAGUGGACGUUACUCGCAGAAUAAGCACCGGCUAACUCUGUGCCAGCAGCCGCGGUAAUACAGAGGGUGCGAGCGUUAAUCGGAUUUACUGGGCGUAAAGCGUGCGUAGGCGGCUUUUUAAGUCGGAUGUGAAAUCCCCGAGCUUAACUUGGGAAUUGCAUUCGAUACUGGGAAGCUAGAGUAUGGGAGAGGAUGGUAGAAUUCCAGGUGUAGCGGUGAAAUGCGUAGAGAUCUGGAGGAAUACCGAUGGCGAAGGCAGCCAUCUGGCCUAAUACUGACGCUGAGGUACGAAAGC
Molecule: ribosomal RNA, 759 nt
Filed under: uncultured bacterium
Lineage: Bacteria
Description: bacterial SSU rRNA
Rfam family: Bacterial small subunit ribosomal RNA
Source: RNAcentral